ACACAAACCAGCCCAUACAAUUUUGUAAAGCAAAAUCUAAUACUAUGUGAACACCUUUUUCCAUCCUUUUUACCUUGGGGAGCAGAAAUAAGUCUCCCUAAGAGGAAAAUCAAAGAUGGUGAUUACUGUAACUUAUAUUAACCAGUAUGGAAAAUGACUGUAAACACAUCAUUCAAAUGGAAUUUAUUUCUUUUCAUAA
Molecule: long non-coding RNA, 199 nt
Organism: Hibiscus syriacus
Lineage: Eukaryota; Viridiplantae; Streptophyta; Magnoliopsida; Malvales; Malvaceae
Exons: 2
Source: RefSeq, a predicted model, not a curated record